AGUGAACGCUGGCGGUAGGCCUAACACAUGCAAGUCGAACGGCAGCACAGGAGAGCUUGCUCUCUGGGUGGUGAGUGGCGGACGGGUGAGGAAUACAUCGGAAUCUACUCUGUCGUGGGGGAUAACGUAGGGAAACUUACGCUAAUACCGCAUACGACCUACGGGUGAAAGCAGGGGACCUUCGGGCCUUGCGCGAUUGAAUGAGCCGAUGUCGGAUUAGCUAGUUGGCGGGGUAAAGGCCCACAAAGGCGAAGAUCCGUAGCUGGUCUGAGAGGAGGAUCAGCCACAGUGGAACUGAGAUACGGUCCAGACUCCUACGGAAGGCAGCAGUGGGGAAUAUUGGACAAUGGGCGCAAGCCUGAUCCAGCCAUACCGCGUGGGUGAAGAAGGCCUUCGGGUUGUAAAGCCCUUUUGUUGGGAAAGAAAUCCAGCUGGCUAAUACCCGGUUGGGAUGACGGUACCCAAAGAAUAAGCACCGGCUAACUUCGUGCCAGCCGCCGCCGCAG
This 506-nucleotide ribosomal RNA is filed under the name uncultured bacterium. RNAcentral's name for it is "partial 16S ribosomal RNA". It matches the Rfam family "Bacterial small subunit ribosomal RNA", at positions 29 to 523 of the family's 1533-position model. The record is from RNAcentral.